RNAcentral lists this ribosomal RNA (253 nucleotides) under uncultured bacterium. RNAcentral's name for it is "partial 16S ribosomal RNA". It matches the Rfam family "Bacterial small subunit ribosomal RNA", at positions 524 to 776 of the family's 1533-position model. The record is from RNAcentral.
UACAGAGGUCUCAAGCGUUGUUCGGAUUCAUUGGGCGUAAAGGGUGUGUAGGUGGCGCCGUAAGUCGGGUGUGAAAUCUCGGGGCUUAACUCCGAAACUGCAUUCGAUACUGCGGUGCUUGAGGACUGGAGAGGAGACUGGAAUUCAUGGUGUAGCAGUGAAAUGCGUAGAGAUCAUGAGGAAGACCAGUGGCGAAGGCGGGUCUCUGGACAGUUCCUGACACUGAGACACGAAGGCCAGGGGAGCAAACGGG